AUACUACUGAGGAGUCCCACAAUAGGACGAAACGGCUAUCCAGUAC
RNAcentral lists this non-coding RNA (46 nucleotides) under Schistosoma mansoni. The record is from RNAcentral. Lineage: Eukaryota; Metazoa; Platyhelminthes; Trematoda; Strigeidida; Schistosomatidae.